Molecule: ribosomal RNA, 253 nt
Filed under: uncultured bacterium
Lineage: Bacteria
Description: partial 16S ribosomal RNA
Rfam family: Bacterial small subunit ribosomal RNA
Source: RNAcentral
UACAGAGGGUGCAAACGUUGCUCGGAAUCAUUGGGCGUAAAGCGCACGUAGGCGGCCCAGCAAGCGGGGAGUGAAAGCCCUCGGCUUAACCGAGGAAGUGCUUUCCGAACUACUGGGCUUGAAUACUGGAGAGGGUCGCGGAAUUCCCGGUGUAGAGGUGAAAUUCGUAGAUAUUCGGAAGAACACCAGUGGCGAAGGCGACUCACUGGACAUGUAUUGACGCUGAGGUACGAAAGCGUGGGGAGCAAACAGG